GACGAACGCUGGCGGCGUGCCUAAUACAUGCAAGUAGAACGCUGAAGCGAGGAGCUUGCUCUUCUUGGAUGAGUUGCGAACGGGUGAGUAACGCGUAGGUAACCUGCCUUGUAGCGGGGGAUAACUAUUGGAAACGAUAGCUAAUACCGCAUAACAAUGGAUGACACAUGUCAUUUAUUUGAAAGGGGCAAUUGCUCCACUACAAGAUGGACCUGCGUUGUAUUAGCUAGUAGGUGAGGUAAUGGCUCACCUAGGCGACGAUACAUAGCCGACCUGGGAGGGUGAUCGGCCACACUGGGACUGGGACACGGCCCAGACUCCUACGGGAGGCAGCAGUAGGGAAUCUUCGGCAAUGGGGGCAACCCUGACCGAGCAACGCCGCGUGAGUGAAGAAGGUUUUCGGAUCGUAAAGCUCUGUUGUAAGUCAAGAACGGGUGUGAGAGUGGAAAGUUCACACUGUGACGGUAGCUUACCAGAAAGGGACGGCUAACUACGUG
RNAcentral lists this ribosomal RNA (497 nucleotides) under uncultured bacterium. Its description in RNAcentral is "partial 16S ribosomal RNA". It matches the Rfam family "Bacterial small subunit ribosomal RNA", at positions 28 to 507 of the family's 1533-position model. The record is from RNAcentral.